UUCUUCCAUUAAUAUAGUACAUACAAUGUUUCGAUAUCCGAAAUAAAGAUAAAAUAAAAAAUCAGAUUUCCACAAGGGUUUUACGAUUAAUCUUCUCUAUCGUAAAAUCCUUGUGGAAACUCACUUUAUGUUGAAAGUCGUAAAUCCAUGUGGAAUCGAAUAAUUAUAGACCUCGUUUUGCUCCUUAGCAUGGGGCGGGGGGAGAGAGAAUUUUGCAAAACCCUUGUGGAAAUUCAGAAAAAUUGACCAAUUCUAUCGAUCAGUCUGGUCGAAAUAGGCAAUCAAUUUCCGUUCGAAAUUUCGGAUCGAUCUCUAACAUUGCAGACAGACUUUACUAGAUACCCUUCAUUUGAUAAAAUGUGGAAUCAAACGAUUAUAGACCUCCCCCAAGCAUGGGGCGGGGAGAGAGUGGAUUUUGCAAAAAAUUUCCUUGUGAAAAUUCAUUUUAUGAGAAAUCCGAAUAAUUAUAGACUUUGUUUUAGAACAAAAUUUAUAAUUAUGCAAUUUCACAAAAAUUUAAAAACCGCUUUAAUAUUGCGCGGAGCGAUACGCAUGCGCAUGUGGUCACAACGCCUGCCCACGUCGAUACAUUUCGUCGGUAUGACAGGUUUCCUAACCCUGAAUAACGCAAACUUUAACGAUCGAAUAUUUCGAUUCGCGAGGCAGAGCGACGAUUUUUCUGCCAGAUUCUUUCGUUCUAGCCAUGUAUUCUACCAAUGACAGCAAGGAGCUUGUCAAGUAAAAAAAAAUUAAGUAAUUUUAAAAUUACUUAAGUCAUUCUAACGUACAUUGACAGUGAACAGAGAACGAUAUAAAUCUCAACAUUGAGAGCUUGCAACUCUAGCAGAGAGUCCUGUUGCAUUAUGAAAUUGGAUUGAAUAGUGUCACAGCUGUUUUGUUAAAUCACAAUUACAACGAUUAUUAGAUAAUUAUGAUAUUCAAAAUAUGCCAUCUGAGUUGGCGUGCGAUCGCUAAUUCGGAAUGGUAACAUUUGCGUGCACGUCGCGGUGUAAAAAAUUACGAGUCACGAAAGAAUUUAAAAUGAGAUAUUUCUAAUUGCUAUUAAAGUAGAGUAUAUAUUUUUCAUCAAUAUCUAAUGCUAAGAGGGAGAUAUCAAGGUUGAUCCAAUCUUCACCUUCACUGAUCUGUUCACUGUGAAUAUUUCUGCUUGAGCUCCUAUGGCAAUGACAAUUUCACUAUAAUGUUGCUGGUGCCGGUGGCAUAACAACAUGAUCUGCAUUAUUGCUGAGAUGGAAAUAUGUUGCGAUAUUAAAACUGCCAACGAAGAAGUUUGUGUUGCCGAUGAGAAAAUACUUCUAUGUGAAAGAGGAUGAUCAUCGUCCAAGCAGCUAUAUCAGCAUGGAUCCACGAAUUGAUCGAGCAGACGUGGCGUCCAGUUUGCUACGCGAUUGCGACAUAUCACUCAGCGAUGUAUCUAAUGCGCUCGAGCAAAGCGAUGUGAAUACGAACGGAAAUGGAGAAGCUGCAUGAGAUAAAGACAUCACGAACAUAUUGCUGCACUAUCGCAAUGGAUAUGAAAUAACGGAACUAACGCGAUAUAUAAUUUUAUUGUAUAUAAACAAUAUAUAUUAUCUCUUUCCAUA
Molecule: long non-coding RNA, 1604 nt
Filed under: Pogonomyrmex barbatus (red harvester ant)
Lineage: Eukaryota; Metazoa; Arthropoda; Insecta; Hymenoptera; Formicidae
Description: uncharacterized LOC105431188, transcript variant X1
Source: RNAcentral